Long non-coding RNA from Myotis brandtii (Brandt's bat), 108 nucleotides. RefSeq lists it as uncharacterized. The record is from RefSeq and is a predicted model, not a curated record. The transcript has 3 exons. NCBI's taxonomy places the organism in Eukaryota, Metazoa, Chordata, Mammalia, Chiroptera, Vespertilionidae.
CUGCUCCAGGGACUUUCUGGUCGUCGCUCCUCCGCGGGGGCCUGCGGCUGCGCCAGCCCCGGUACCUGGCUUUCCAAGGGCUCCAUUGGCAACUCGGCCCUGGCUUGG